UGAGGAAUAUUGGUCAAUGGACGAGAGUCUGAACCAGCCAAGUAGCGUGCAGGAUGACGGCCCUAUGGGUUGUAAACUGCUUUUGUUUGGGAAUAAUCGACAUUACGUGUAAUGUUUUGCAUGUACCAUUCGAAUAAGGACCGGCUAAUUCCGUGCCAGCAGCCGCGGUAAUACGGAAGGUCCGGGCGUUAUCCGGAUUUAUUGGGUUUAAAGGGAGCGUAGGCGGAUUGUUAAGUCAGCGGUUAAAGGGUGUGGCUCAACCAUGCAUUGCCGUUGAAACUGGCGAUCUUGAGUGCAGACAGGGAUGCCGGAAUUCGUGGUGUAGCGGUGAAAUGCUUAGAUAUCACGAAGAACUCCGAUCGCGAAGGCAGGUGUCCGGGCUGCAACUGACGCUGAGGCUCGAAAGUGUGGGUAUCAAACAGG
RNAcentral lists this ribosomal RNA (423 nucleotides) under Verrucomicrobiota bacterium. RNAcentral's name for it is "Verrucomicrobia bacterium partial 16S ribosomal RNA". It matches the Rfam family "Bacterial small subunit ribosomal RNA", at positions 355 to 776 of the family's 1533-position model. Lineage: Bacteria; Pseudomonadati; Verrucomicrobiota. The record is from RNAcentral.